Molecule: ribozyme, 68 nt
Filed under: Bacillus subtilis
Lineage: Bacteria; Bacillati; Bacillota; Bacilli; Caryophanales; Bacillaceae
Description: Pistol ribozyme
Rfam family: Pistol ribozyme
Source: RNAcentral
AGUCGUCUGGGCGACUAUAAACAGGCAUUAAGCCCAGAGCGUCCUUCCUGCUGCGGGAAGGGGUUGCA